RNAcentral lists this ribosomal RNA (273 nucleotides) under uncultured bacterium. RNAcentral describes it as "partial 16S ribosomal RNA". It matches the Rfam family "Bacterial small subunit ribosomal RNA", at positions 524 to 796 of the family's 1533-position model. The record is from RNAcentral.
GACGAACUGUGCAAACGUUAUUCGGAAUCACUGGGCUUGAAGAGUGCGUAGGCGGUUUUGUAAGUAGGGUGUGAAAGCCCCCGGCCCAACCGGGGAAUUGCGCCCUAAACUGCAAGGCUGGAGUGAGGUAGGGGUGUGUGGAACUUCCAGUGGAGCGGUGAAAUGUGUUGAUAUUGGAAGGAACGCCGGUGGCGAAAGCGACACACUGGACCUUGUCUGACGCUGAGGCACGAAAGCCAGGGGAGCAAACGGGAUUAGAAACCCCAGUAGUCC